GCAAGUCGAACGGUAACAUGGAUUGCUUGCAAUCUGAUGACGAGUGGCGCACGGGUGCGUAACGCGUAUGCAAUCUACCUUUUACAGGAGAAUAGCCCAGAGAAAUUUGGAAUAAUGCUCCAUAAUAUCAUUUAUCAGCAUUGGUUUAUGAUUAAAGCUCCGGCGGUAAAAGAUGAGCAUGCGUUCUAUUAGCUAGUAGGUGAGGUAACGGCUCACCUAGGCUACGAUAGAUAGGGGCCCUGAGAGGGGGAUCCCCCACACUGGUACUGAGACACGGACCAGACUCCUACGGGAGGCAGCAGUGAGGAAUAUUGGACAAUGGAGGAAACUCUGAUCCAGCCAUGCCGCGUGCAGGAUGACUGCCCUAUGGGUUGUAAACUGCUUUUAUAUAGGAAGAAACACUCCCACGUGUGGGGGCUUGACGGUACUAUAUGAAUAAGGAUCGGCUAACUCCGUGCCAGCAGCCGCGGUAAUACGGAGGAUCCAAGCGUUAUCCGGAAUCAUUGGGUUUAAAGGGUCCGCAGGCGGCCUGUUAAGUCAGAGGUGAAAUCCUACAGCUCAACUGUAGAACUGCCUUUGAUACUGAUAGGCUUGAGUUAUUGUGAAGUGGUUAGAAUGUGUGGUGUAGCGGUGAAAUGCUUAGAUAUCACACAGAAUACCCAUUGCGAAGGCAGAUCACUAACAGUAUACUGACGCUCAUGGACGAAAGCGUGGGGAGCGAACAGGAUUAGAUACCCUGGUAGUCCACGCCGUAAACGAUGGAUACUAACUGUUCGACCUUCGGGUUGAGUGGUCAAGUGAAAG
Molecule: ribosomal RNA, 804 nt
Filed under: uncultured Bacteroidota bacterium
Lineage: Bacteria; Pseudomonadati; Bacteroidota
Description: bacterial SSU rRNA
Rfam family: Bacterial small subunit ribosomal RNA
Source: RNAcentral